CCUACGGGAGGCAGCAGUGAGGAAUAUUGGUCAAUGGACGCAAGUCUGAACCAGCCAUGCCGCGUGCAGGAAGACGGCUCUAUGAGUUGUAAACUGCUUUUGUACGAGGGUAAACGCAGAUACGCGUAUCUGUCUGCAAGUAUCGUACGAAUAAGGAUCGGCUAAAUCCGUGCCAGCAGCCGCGGUAAUACGGAGGAUUCAAGCGUUAUCCGGAUUUAUUGGGUUUAAAGGGUGCGUAGGCGGUCGGAUAAGUUAGAGGUGAAAUCCCGAGGCUCAACUUCGGAAUUGCCUCUGAUACUGUUCGGCUAGAGAGUGGUGGCGGUAGGCGGAAUGUAUGGUGUAGCGGUGAAAUGCUUAGAGAUCAUACAGAACACCGAUUGCGAAGGCAGCUUACCAAGCUACUUCUGACGUUGAGGCACGAAAGCGUGGGGAGCAAACAGGAUUAGAUACCCCAGUAGUC
This 460-nucleotide ribosomal RNA is filed under the name uncultured bacterium. RNAcentral describes it as "partial 16S ribosomal RNA". It matches the Rfam family "Bacterial small subunit ribosomal RNA", at positions 338 to 795 of the family's 1533-position model. The record is from RNAcentral.